AACGCACGAGACCUGCGGACCUGCGGAAGGAUCAUUACCGAGUUUACAACUCCCAAACCCAAUGUGAACGUUACCAAACUGUUGCCUCGGCGGGAUCUCUGCCCCGGGUGCGUCGCAGCCCCGGACCAAGGCGCCCGCCGGAGGACCAACCAAAAACUCUUUUUGUAUACCCCCUCGCGGGUUUUUAUAUAUCUGAGCCUUUCUCGGCGCCCCUUCGUGGGCGUUUCGAAAAUGAAUCAA
This 240-nucleotide unclassified non-coding RNA is filed under the name soil metagenome. RNAcentral's name for it is "partial contains 5.8S ribosomal RNA, internal transcribed spacer 2, and large subunit ribosomal RNA". The record is from RNAcentral.